This 72-nucleotide transfer RNA is filed under the name Bifidobacterium bifidum. RNAcentral's name for it is "tRNA-Ile". It matches the Rfam family "tRNA". Rfam says of the family: Transfer RNA (tRNA) molecules are approximately 80 nucleotides in length. Their secondary structure includes four short double-helical elements and three loops (D, anti-codon, and T loops). Further hydrogen bonds mediate the characteristic L-shaped molecular structure. tRNAs have two regions of fundamental functional importance: the anti-codon, which is responsible for specific mRNA codon recognition, and the 3' end, to which the tRNAs corresponding amino acid is attached (by aminoacyl-tRNA synthetases). tRNAs cope with the degeneracy of the genetic code in two manners: having more than one tRNA (with a specific anti-codon) for a particular amino acid; and 'wobble' base-pairing, i.e. permitting non-standard base-pairing at the 3rd anti-codon position. The record is from RNAcentral. Lineage: Bacteria; Bacillati; Actinomycetota; Actinomycetes; Bifidobacteriales; Bifidobacteriaceae.
AGGGCGGUGCGCAGGCAUCGGAUACUUCCAUUUAUAACGGAGAGGUCGCGGGUUCGAAUCCCGUCCACCCUU